Molecule: ribosomal RNA, 253 nt
Filed under: uncultured bacterium
Lineage: Bacteria
Description: partial 16S ribosomal RNA
Rfam family: Bacterial small subunit ribosomal RNA
Source: RNAcentral
UACGGAGGGUGCGAGCGUUGUCCGGAAUCAUUGGGCGUAAAGCGCACGUAGGCGGCUUGCCAAGUCGGACGUGAAAUCCCUCAGCUCAACUGAGGACGUGCAUCCGAAACUGGCGAGCUUGAGUGCUGAAGAGGAUCGCGGAAUUCCCGGUGUAGAGGUGAAAUUCGUAGAUAUCGGGAGGAACACCAGUGGCGAGGGCGGCGAUCUGGGCAGACACUGACGCUGAGGUGCGAAAGCGUGGGGAGCAAACAGG